Molecule: ribosomal RNA, 478 nt
Filed under: uncultured bacterium
Lineage: Bacteria
Description: bacterial SSU rRNA
Rfam family: Bacterial small subunit ribosomal RNA
Source: RNAcentral
GGCCCAACUGAUAUGACGUGCUUGCACUGAUUUGACGAUGGAUUACCAGUGAGCGGCGGACGGGUGAGUAACACGUGGGCAACCUGCCCUGGAGCGGGGGAUAACAUUUGGAAACAGAUGCUAAUACCGCAUAAUAAUCAAAACCACAUGGUUUUGAUUUCAAAGAUGGCUUCGGCUAUCACUCCAGGAUGGGCCCGCGGUGCAUUAGCUAGUUGGUAAGGUAACGGCUUACCAAGGCGAUGAUGCAUAGCCGAGUUGAGAGACUGAUCGGCCACAAUGGAACUGAGACACGGUCCAUACUCCUACGGGAGGCAGCAGUAGGGAAUCUUCCACAAUGGGCGCAAGCCUGAUGGAGCAACACCGCGUGAGUGAAGAAGGGUUUCGGCUCGUAAAACUCUGUUGUUGAAGAAGAACGUGCGUGAGAGUAACUGUUCACGCAGUGACGGUAUUCAACCAGAAAGUCACGGCUAACUACGUG